ACGCGAAUCCUGCAGGCGGUUCCCUCGAAGCGCCCCCGAAACCUUCCAUCCUUUCGUUGUUGCUGAGCCACCCAUCGGAGGAUCCCUGCGCCAUUCUCCGACUCGCGAUUUGUCCAGCCACCACCGACCGGAGGCGCGCCCACGCGCUCCAUCCCUACGCAGAACGCGCCUGACCCAAACCAUUGUGCAGAUCCCCCAAGGGCCAUUGCCGCCACCACCCCUUGUCAAUAUCCUUUGUGAUCCAUCCGAGGUGACGUCCAUGCCCGUCCCCUUGAUCUUCCUAAUCUGAAUCACAUGGCCAGAGCAAGAUCGGUGUUUUGAGUUGAUACUUGCCCAGCCAUGGUGACCUCGCGGCUGCAGCUGACUGUUCUUGGAUUUCAGAUGGAGCGGACCAGAUUCACAUAUGCACUGUCGAAUGGUCGAAACGUCCUUCCUGUGUUUCUACUUUCUACGCUAAAAAUAGCUAUGUGUUCCGUAGCCCGCUACUUAUUCUGAAAAUGGUGUAUUUGACUAUUGAAUUUGUUUAGCUGUUGAACUUGACUGAGGUGGGAGAACUAAAUGUGGAAGGCAUGAAGCCAAAAAGUGAUUAAUUAAAUGAUUGACCAUGAAAUUUUCUCCUAACUAAAAACGUUCCAUGGAAGUGUUUGAUUUACUACCAUAGUGAUUGGUCUUUAUGGAAUUGGUCUAUUCUAAAGGAGGCACUUAAUUGACUUCUGUAGGGCAUGUAUUUCCUCUUCUUUGUUUUUGCUAAAAACGGGAAACCAAUCUACCGGUCUAGCUUUUUUUUGCUAUUAGAAUUGGCUGUGAACAAGUAUAUCCCCUUUCAAAAUAGUAGCUAAUAUCUUAAAAUUUAUGUGAUUUUUUUGCCAGCUCAAAUGGCCUUUUAUUGAUGCGAAACAUGUGCGUAUAUCUCUGUCAGCAUAGCGUCAACUCUCUGUUUAGAUCUGAUGAAUAUUAUUUUGUCUCAUAUUGGUUUACCUGGUUUUUAAUCAUUCUUGUGGGGAUCGCGGUGGUAGCAGAAAAGCGAGGCAACUAUGUGAAGGAGGCUUAUGCGAACCUUCCUGUUAUGUCUAGCUCCACUGAAAUUAUGGCCCAACAAUGUGGAUGCUGCACACCAAAGGAGGUUUUGCUCCUUCACUUGCUUCUGGUAAGUUCUAGCCUGAAUUGCUACAUCCACUCUUCACAAAAAACUGAGAAAUCCAAGUAUUUCGUCGGAAAAGCCGUUGACAAUAGAGGUUGGUAAGAUUUCUGCAAAGAAGUGUCCUUCUUUGAUUUUAAGACAUGCAUAUUAGCCAGUGGCUCAAUUCAAGAACAAUGCUCUCUCACCGCGAACAACACAAUCCUGGUUAAUGGUUGACAAGUGGAGCAAAAGGUUACUCUGAAGCUGCAUUUUCAUCAUCGUUAGGAAAUGUUUAGGGAUUUGUUUGAGUUGCCAUGGAGGAACCUCAUUUAUCUUUCUCUUGUAUUCCUCCUAGAUCAUAUAGGAAUUUGAUUUAUUAAAGGUACAUUAUUUUGUAGCCCCCAAAAAGGCACAUACAUGCCCAUUGCAUAAGGCAUGACUUAUCUUGUUUAUAUUACCUGUUCUUCCGAGUUUCAAGGGCAAAAGUUCUCAUGUUGACAUAGAGGAAACUCUUGUAACAAUGAAUAUAUAUGUGUUGACGACGAUUCUGAUUGCCUACAUAAAACAGUGUAUAUUUCCGGUUGUAGCUUCUUUUAGGUGCCAUAUUGUGUAUGGUGAUGAUGUAGCUUCUAUCAAUAUUUGGUCACAUCAGAGCAAGGUCAAGAAACAUUUUCCGUUGUAUUAUGUAUAACGAUGAUGUCUUUGAUGAAAAGAUUCUCAUCAACUUUGGUA
Lolium perenne is the source of this 1852-nucleotide non-coding RNA. Lineage: Eukaryota; Viridiplantae; Streptophyta; Magnoliopsida; Poales; Poaceae. The record is from RefSeq and is a predicted model, not a curated record.